This 293-nucleotide ribosomal RNA is filed under the name uncultured bacterium. RNAcentral describes it as "partial 16S ribosomal RNA". It matches the Rfam family "Bacterial small subunit ribosomal RNA", at positions 333 to 618 of the family's 1533-position model. The record is from RNAcentral.
AAUCCCCUACGGGGGGCAGCAGUAGGGAAUCUUCCACAAUGGACGAAAGUCUGAUGGAGCAACGCCGCGUGAGUGAAGAAGGGUUUCGGCUCGUAAAGCUCUGUUGGUAGUGAAGAAAGAUAGAGGUAGUAACUGGCCUUUAUUUGACGGUAAUUACUUAGAAAGUCACGGCUAACUACGUGCCAGCAGCCGCGGUAAUGCGUAGGUGGCAAGCGUUGUCCGGAUUUAUUGGGCGUAAAGCGAGUGCAGGCGGUUCAAUAAGUCUGAUGUGAAAGCCUUUGGGUCAAACGGAG